AACGUGUUGCUGAGCUGCAUGACUGGUGGAAGUCAUCGGUGUCACUGUUGAAACUUAGCAGUGAUGGUGAUGAGGAGAACAUUACUCAGAAAGACAGCGAGGUAGUGAUCUCAGCACCCCUACCAGAUCAUGUUAGUGAAUAUUCACAGGUGGGGACACUUCAGACUCAAUUAGGUGUUGCUGGUACAGCACCAUAGAAGAUCCAGAGGAAGAGAGACCUCAACUUGAAGAAGAAAUACUUGAAGACAAGGAACAGGAUGAUCCAGAGCUCGAAAAACCAAGUGAUCAACUUGAAGACUCAUCAUCUACUACUCUUGAAGAAGCAAAAUAAGUUGUUGUAGAUGAACUUGAAGAACCAGAAAUUCAUUUGCCAAUUUUCAUACAAGAGCGUGAUGUAGCAGGUUUAUCUAAUCCUCUUGAUGACAUGCGUCCCUAUGACUUAUUUGCUUCUACCUUGCAUUACAUGAUACCGUGAAUUAAGGUAGAUUUGAGAAAGUAUUUGCUUGGAUAUGAUGAUAUAUACCCUGUUCAUGGCAUUGCCCACAUUUGUUACGAUUACACUUAUUUUCCUCAUGCUAGACCCAUGCUUAAUGAAACAUGUCAUUCUCAUGGUAGCCUGGAGCUUAAUGAUUCAUAUCAUCUUCAUGCUAGCAUUGAGCUUACUGAUUUCUACCAUCCUAAACAUGUGCUUUAUAGCUAUUCUUAUGUAAUUGGGUACUCUAUUGAUGAUUUAGAGGGCAUCAACCCUAUCACUUGCAUUGUCUCUUUUGUUGUAUGCCUUUCCAGGUUUUUGCUACUGCACCGUUUACUACAUGCUGACCAGGUUCGGGGUGACAUCCCUUGGGAUCCCGGUGGAGUCAGAGCAUGGUGAUGAGGAGAAGCAAUGGGGCACACAUAUGGAAGAGAGAAGCUGGAGUUUGCAAGUGCAAGCAAAAGGAGAAGAGCUGCAGCUCAGAGAGUGAUUGUGCGAGACCAUCAAAGCCCGGUGAGUUGUUUCAUGACCCAUUCUGAAUAUCAUAAAUACAUGCUGAAUUCAAUUACUAGUUGGGUUGCUUGAGCCAGUUAUUACUUGUUGUCAAGUUGAAAUUUUACCUUUGGCAUAUGAUGCUUGAUGUGAAAAUGUUAACUGAUUGUUGAAUGCCUUGUAAACUAGUGAUCUACACAAUGCUUGCUUUGCUGAAAGUAGUGAAGGCUAUUAGUUUUGAGUGCUCAAAUCCCUAGUACACUAGAAAACUUAAUCAUUUUUUGCUUUUAUCUUGAUACAUCUAGAUCAUUAAGUGUCAGAUGAUGAGUUUGUGCCUAAUGUGUUCCCACUCAGAGCAAUCACUCACCACUAUGGACUAGCAUGCUAUGUUCCCUGGAUUGGUAGUAUGUGAACCAGACUUGGAUGAGUGAUGAUUCUUGUUUCCUUUUUGUAUUCAUUUGUUAAAUAAGUAAUAAUGAAUAAAUAAGUCUGACUACUGACAGUAGCAUGUCAUGUUCCCUGGAUCGGUGGCAUGUGAAAUCGGGUUAGCUUGGGCAAUAAUUAAUAAUAAAAAUGUAAUUGUCGAACCAGUUGUAUACCAUGUUCUCUGGAUCGGUGAUAUGUUCCUUUGUGGAGACAAACAAAAAAAUACUAAUAAUUGGUCGAGCCAGGUGUAUACCAUGUUCUCGGGAUCGGUGGUAUGUUCUUUUGGUGAGACCGACAAAAUAUUAUCAUUGCUUCCUUCAAAUUCAAUAAGUGGUUCGACCACAAUGUUGUGUUCCUGACAGUAAUUGUUUCUCGGGAUCAUGCUCUCUCUAGGAACCUUUUGGCACAAUCAGCAUUUGAACUUGUUGAUCCACUUUUAUCACUGUAAAAGUUUAAAAUGAUUGACUUUACUAGUAGUAUCCUAUUGCUUUAUAGCACUCUUAACCAUUAAUUUUCACUAGCUAAGUCCGAAACAUGCCUUGUUUGGGGAUUUAUUUUACCAGGACAUUCUUUACUCAGCUCACUGUUCAUAUUCUUGCUCUUGUCAUAUACCUUUGCUUGAGGACAAGCAAAGAUUUUAGUGUGGGGGAACUUCAUAAGCACAUUUCAUACAUAUAAUUUUGACACAAAAAUUCACCAUUUCUUGAGAUGUGUCCAUCUAUUCUUGCUGAGAAUUGUCGAAUAUUCUAUUGAUAAUCAUAAAAGAGAUUGUGACUAGUCGUUUGUUUAUUUUGAAGAAAAGUGCGACAAGGCACUAUAAACUUGAAGAUUUUGCCUACAAAGAAAGAGGAUACAAGACCGAGGGCUAAUAGAAGAGAAGGUUGGACUUGAGUAUGAAGAAUGAAAGAAUCGGAGGGCCAAAACUAAAGAAGAAAGGGAUCUACUUUAGGCAAAAGAAGAGAAGAAGCAGGGCAAAAGUGCAAAAUGGCAGAUCAGGGAGGGAUCAAAAUCCCUAGCCGCACCUCUUUGCAACGGGGUCCUGGCACACUUCUCUCUCCCUCACCCCUCCUUCACCACCGGCCGCCGCCGCGGCCAGGCCGGCGUGGCGGUGUGCCACCCAGCCAUCCAUCCACUCCGCCUCCACCAACGCCUCCUUCCUCCAACACCAUCCAGCACCAUCACGAGUUCACCACCUCUCCCCUCGCUGCACCCCUGCUGUCGUCUUCCCGAACCUUUGCAGCUCCUCUCCUCCAAUCUGAACUCUUCUGCCAUUCCCUGUGAUCCUUGCUGUUGCUCCAUACCCAUCGACUGACCAAGGACGUGAAGCCCUUCUUCUUCCCAUUGCUGCUGCGGCUGCCUCCUCUCCGUCGCGUCUCCCUUAGCGCUGUUGCUGCCCUCUGGUUACAACUGCUACUGCUACUCUUCUACAACCUGUGCUUUGCUGCUAGUCUCUCUCCAACGGCCCAACUGCUGCUGCUCUCUCCUCACGCCCCCUGCUGCUGCUCCUUUCCCU
Molecule: ribosomal RNA, 2903 nt
Filed under: Triticum aestivum (bread wheat)
Lineage: Eukaryota; Viridiplantae; Streptophyta; Magnoliopsida; Poales; Poaceae
Description: partial small subunit ribosomal RNA
Source: RNAcentral